UGGGGAGGAAACGCUGAGCGAGCGAUGAGGGUGGUUGUGAGGGGGGGCAGGAAGGGAGGAGCAGGCAGGGACGGGCUUCACAGUUAUAUACUCUCGGUCCCCACGGCAUCCGACCAGCACAGCCAUGGCCGAGGGCCAGAAACGACGGGGCUUCAAGAAAUUCAAGUUCUUCAAGUUCAAAGGCUUUGGGAGCCUGAGCAGCAUCCCCCGCUCCUUCACCUUACGGCGCAUCUCUGUGGUCCCCAGCUCCCCUGAGACUCUUGGGCCACAUCUCCCACCUCCCCAUGGCUUCCUGGGAGAGCCCUUUGACAGCACCCAGGAUGAUCUCAACACUGUGCCCAAGAGCCCUGGCCCUUAUGCCCAGUCAUCAAACAUGUACUCCCACAUGGGCACCAUGCCCAGGGUGAAUCUGGGCAAGGCAGGGAAGAGCCUGGGCAAAGACAAGAGUAGCCAGAACUGCUGGGAGAAAGGGACUCCCAACAACAAAACCCCCCAGACAGCCCUGCUCCUCGGCCUCAAGUGCCCUGAGAUAUCCAGCACUCCUGGCCCAGGCACAGACUCAUCCUCGGCUGCUGGACAAGCAGAGCAGGAGGAAGAAGCUGAACUCGGGGACACCCUGGAGGCAGCAACGGCCAGCACAGACCAGGAGCCUGUGGGAAAUGUCUCCUGCCCUAGGACAGAGGAACCGAGCUCCAGCCUGGCUCCAAACCCCAGCCCGGCUCCAAACCCCAGCCCAACCACAAACCCUGACACAGCAGCUGGAGCAGAGACCACUGAUGGGGAUCUGCUGGAAAAGGGACAAGAGCAUCCUGACACGACCUCCCCAGACAGGUAUAGCCCUUGAGGUUUGCUCUGCCUUCUGCUAAGACCCCCAUUUUGCCCCUCCAGAGCAAGAGGAGGGGGCUGGGACAAACCAGGGUCACUGCAAUGUCCCCCCGUGCCCACAGUGCCAGCGGGAUGCACCUGGCCGGUGGGACAGCACAGCUGGAGCAUGGUCAGGUCAGCGGCUCCAUGGGAACGAGGUUUCCUGUGGGAUUUCUGCUCCCUCCUGUUUCCGGACGGGGUGGAAACAUCUCGCCGCCCCGUUCUGCCCCGGCAUCUCUUUGUCCUGCGGCGGCUGCGUUCCAGCACCAGGAUGUGCUGCUGCGGAGAGCUCUCACCAGCACUGUUACAGCCUCCUGCGCCUCUCACUCUCCUCUUUUCCACCCCCUCUAUCCUCUACCCCUCUGUUGGGCAGUACUGCCUCUCCCAAGGCACACGGGCAAAUCCUGAAACCAGGCACUCUGUCCCCAUUUCAUCACCUGCCAGUAAACCCACUCUGGGCACAAACGCCCUCAUUCCAG
RNAcentral lists this long non-coding RNA (1343 nucleotides) under Catharus ustulatus (Swainson's thrush). Its description in RNAcentral is "lncRNA (ENSCUSG00005017537.1)". The record is from RNAcentral. Lineage: Eukaryota; Metazoa; Chordata; Aves; Passeriformes; Turdidae.